This is a long non-coding RNA of Rhopalosiphum padi (bird cherry-oat aphid), 1589 nucleotides long. RefSeq lists it as uncharacterized. NCBI's taxonomy places the organism in Eukaryota, Metazoa, Arthropoda, Insecta, Hemiptera, Aphididae. The transcript is spliced from 5 exons. The record is from RefSeq and is a predicted model, not a curated record.
AUCCCAAAUAUCAAAUAAAAAAAAUUAAUAUUAUAUAUACUCAGUGGUGUAAGUAUCUGUACAAUGUACAUGAAUCUGAUAAUACUGGUUUGGUGAACUAGAGCUGGUUUUAUGUAAUUGCUUAUUCAUAUUUAUUUUAUACCAUAAAAAUUAUACGCAGCCGACUAGUGACGAUAAUGCGUGAUAUAAUUUAUUGCUACGUGCUCUGAUUUUUCAUAAACAUUAUAUCAAUAUACUAUCAAUAUAGUAUGACGUAGCUAAUACAUUCCAGAGUAUGACGAGGUAAAGCUAGGUCCACAACACUACAUACACUUAUGGGUAGGUCUAGUAAGUCCUAUGGGAUCAUUAAUACAUGUCAAAAAAUUAAUGAUCUCCACUCUUGAAGAUUAUAGACACGCAGUAAUUUUGUUCGAGUGCAUACUCCAUCGGGGCCAUAUUUUAUAUAUUUACCAUUAGGUAGGAUAGGCAAUUGCCUAUGGCCCUCAUUAUUAGAGUGCCUCGGAUUUUUAUGAACCUUAUUUUAAUUUUAUUUUACUUGGUAACUUAGGUUUACUAUCAUUAGAAAGCGAUCUUACAUGUUCUUUAAAUUUUUAUGACAUAAUAAAUGUAUUUACUUUUAAAAAAGCAAGAAAUGUAAUAUUAUAAAAUAGCUUAUUUCUAUAAAAAAUGUAAAAAUGUAUUGUUUUCACAGUUAAUAAUAUAUAAAAAUAAAGUUUAAUUAUGUUUUCCAUAUAAAUAUAUGCACUUCUAUUAAUUAAUAAAUAAUCAGAAAAAUGACAUCCGUGACCUGUAGCGAUAAAAUAUGUAUACAAUUAUAAUUAUGUUUGUGAAAAUUUAUAAGUAAAUUGUAAUUGUUAAUUUGUAUUUAUACGCUACUGUUGACAAGGUACCACAUUUUUUAAGGCCACAAAAUGCCUAAAUCAGGCCCUUUACUCCAUACAUAAAACAAAUGUUUUUCAAAAAUAAUAUUUCAAAAUAAAGAAUAAAUACAUUAUACAUAAAUCCUUUAUAAUUUUUUAUUAAUGUAUAAUUUUUAUAAUAUUUUUAAAUUUAAUAUUUACCUAAUAUAAUUUUAGUUUUUUUUUAUCAGGAUUAACGAAUAUACACAAUAGUAGCAAUUAUAAAUAUGACAAAUAUACAAAGGAAAAUAAUAAAAUGACCCAAAAUUAUUUUGUUCAGUUGAAAACAUGUCGGGUUAUUAUGGAUGAAUUAUAUGGAACAUACAUACAAAGGCUAAAAGUUAUUGGAUGUAUACCAUUAUCCCUUGACUUGAUGCAGCUUGAACAAUAUUUUUUACUUGGUUAAAUGUACAAUUAAUAUUAGUAUUCAUACAUUGUAAGCACACGGGUGCACGUAUCAAUAUAUUAUAUAUCAUAGUUAACUUUCUAUUGUAAUGUGAAGCAAUACUUAUUAAUACUACACACAUACAUAGGUAUGGUUAUGUGACGUCAAUGAAGCGUAUAUAUAGGGCUCAUUUUGUAUACAAGACUCUCUCUGGGUCACUCUCGGACACUCUUGGACACGGUACACUGUGUAUCUAUAUCUAGUUGUAUGUUACAUUUAUAUUAAACUGUUAUUAUAAUCAUAAA